UACGGGGGGGGCAAGCGUUGUUCGGAAUUACUGGGCGUAAAGGGCGCGUAGGCGGCCUGCUAAGUCGGAUGUGAAAUCCCUCGGCUCAACCGAGGAACUGCAUCCGAUACUGGCGGGCUUGAAUCCGGGAGAGGGAUGUGGAAUUCCAGGUGCAGCGGUGAAAUGCGUAGAUAUCUGGAGGAACACCGGUGGCGAAGGCGGCAUCCUGGACCGGUAUUGACGCUGAGGCGCGAAAGCUAGGGGAGCAAACGGG
This 253-nucleotide ribosomal RNA is filed under the name uncultured bacterium. RNAcentral describes it as "partial 16S ribosomal RNA". It matches the Rfam family "Bacterial small subunit ribosomal RNA", at positions 524 to 776 of the family's 1533-position model. The record is from RNAcentral.